GACGAACGCUGGCGGCGUGCUUAACACAUGCAAGUCGAACGGAAAGGCCCUGCUUUUGUGGGGUGCUCGAGUGGCGAACGGGUGAGUAACACGUGAGUAACCUGCCCUUGACUUUGGGAUAACUUCAGGAAACUGGGGCUAAUACCGGAUAGGAGCUCCUGCUGCAUGGUGGGGGUUGGAAAGUUUCGGCGGUUGGGGAUGGACUCGCGGCUUAUCAGCUUGUUGGUGGGGUAGUGGCUUACCAAGGCUUUGACGGGUAGCCGGCCUGAGAGGGUGACCGGCCACAUUGGGACUGAGAUACGGCCCAGAGUCCUACGGGAGGCAGCAGUGGGGAAUAUUGCACAAUGGGCGGAAGCCUGAUGCAGCAACGCCGCGUGCGGAAUGACGGCCUUCGGGUUGUAAACCGCUUUCGCCUGUGACGAAGCGUGAGUGACGGUAAUGGGUAAAGAAGCACCGGCUAACUACGUG
This 468-nucleotide ribosomal RNA is filed under the name uncultured bacterium. RNAcentral's name for it is "partial 16S ribosomal RNA". It matches the Rfam family "Bacterial small subunit ribosomal RNA", at positions 28 to 507 of the family's 1533-position model. The record is from RNAcentral.